UGGGCUCAGGGACAGGCCAUGGCCUCCAUGCUCCUAGUCCCUUCCUUGAAGGGUCGGAUAAGUCACAUGACGAGCCUCAAGCAAGGGACUUUGAGCUGGUGGCUCCCAGCAGCCUCCUGUUCCUGAACC
Equus asinus (donkey) is the source of this 129-nucleotide microRNA precursor. The record is from Ensembl. Lineage: Eukaryota; Metazoa; Chordata; Mammalia; Perissodactyla; Equidae.